GGGAUAGUUUAUUUGAUAGUAA
Molecule: unclassified non-coding RNA, 22 nt
Filed under: Dictyostelium discoideum
Lineage: Eukaryota; Evosea; Eumycetozoa; Dictyosteliales; Dictyosteliaceae
Source: RNAcentral